GGUUAAGCGACUAAGCGUACACGGUGGAUGCCCUGGCAGUCAGAGGCGAUGAAGGACGUGCUAAUCUGCGAAAAGCGUCGGUAAGGUGAUAUGAACCGUUAUACCGGCGAUGUCCGAAUGGGGAAACCCAGUGCAAUUCGUCACACUAUCGUUAACUGAAUACAUAGGUUAACGAGGCGAACCGGGGGAACUGAAACAUCUAAGUAC
This 207-nucleotide ribosomal RNA is filed under the name Klebsiella pneumoniae subsp. pneumoniae KPNIH21. Its description in RNAcentral is "partial 23S ribosomal RNA". It matches the Rfam family "Bacterial large subunit ribosomal RNA", at positions 1 to 209 of the family's 2925-position model. Lineage: Bacteria; Pseudomonadati; Pseudomonadota; Gammaproteobacteria; Enterobacterales; Enterobacteriaceae. The record is from RNAcentral.